This 491-nucleotide ribosomal RNA is filed under the name uncultured bacterium. RNAcentral describes it as "partial 16S ribosomal RNA". It matches the Rfam family "Bacterial small subunit ribosomal RNA", at positions 28 to 507 of the family's 1533-position model. The record is from RNAcentral.
GAUGAACGCUGUCUACAGGCUUAACACAUGCAAGUCGAGGGGAAACGACGGGGAAGCUUGCUUCCCCGGGCGUCGACCGGCGCACGGGUGAGUAACGCGUAUCCAACCUGCCUCUGACUGAGGGAUAACCCGUCGAAAGUCGGCCUAAUACCUCAUGGCAUCGUCUGCGGGCAUCCAACGACGAUUAAAGAUUUCAUCGGUCAGGGAUGGGGAUGCGUCUGAUUAGCUUGUUGGCGGGGUAACGGCCCACCAAGGCUACGAUCAGUAGGGGUUCUGAGAGGAAGGUCCCCCACAUUGGAACUGAGACACGGUCCAAACUCCUACGGGAGGCAGCAGUGAGGAAUAUUGGUGAAUGGGAGGGAGCAUGAACCAGCCAAGUAGCGUGCAGGAUGACGGCCCUAUGGGUUGUAAACUGCUUUUAUGCGGGGAUAAAGUGAGGGACGUGUCCUUCAUUGAAGGUACCGCAUGAAUAAGGACCGGCUAAUUCCGUG